GAUCAAGGUAACAAAGCCCAGCCCAGCCUAGCCUGAAAAGCGCGUGUUUGGACGACACUGCUACGUCAGAUUAGGCGCGUGGGCAUCAGCAAGAAGUGAUCCCAGUUAACAACCAUUCCCGCACGCCGGUAAUUUCAUCUUUCAGCCCCAAAACGACAAUCAGAAAUAUUAGCUUUACUCUUCUCCCACGAUAUAUUUCCUCCCCUCCUUCUCUUUCCCUCCAGCUUCUUCCCAUUUUCAUCAUCUUCUUGCUCUGUUCUCUCUCUAGAUAAAACCCUAAUUAAAUGAAUAUAUAGAGAGUUUAUAUAGUUUACGUUGCUCUGGUGUUUACUUCGAGAUUGGGGUAAGCUGGAGACAGUUCACCAAGACGACGUCGCUCCCAAAAAGCCCGGCUGCGAGAACAACUUUGUUCUGGUAAACAAAUUAAGAACCCUAAUCUCUCUUCCUUUUCUAUUUCUUUUUCUAAACAUAUUUGACAUGUUUCUUUUAUUGUAUUUGAUUUGAUUUUGUCUUAUUACAUUUUCUGUUUGAUUGCUGAGAAAAAGGGAAAAAGAAGAGAACCUUUUCUUUAUCUUGGUUGGUUUAAUUUUCUGGUUGAUUUGAGAAUAUUUUUUUCCUANNN
This 622-nucleotide long non-coding RNA is filed under the name Carica papaya (papaya). RNAcentral's name for it is "long non-coding RNA (CPAP_LNC000904)". Lineage: Eukaryota; Viridiplantae; Streptophyta; Magnoliopsida; Brassicales; Caricaceae. The record is from RNAcentral.